RNAcentral lists this ribosomal RNA (497 nucleotides) under uncultured bacterium. RNAcentral describes it as "partial 16S ribosomal RNA". It matches the Rfam family "Bacterial small subunit ribosomal RNA", at positions 28 to 507 of the family's 1533-position model. The record is from RNAcentral.
GAUGAACGCUGGCGGCAUGCCUAAUACAUGCAAGUCGAGCGAACAGACGAGGAGCUUGCUCCUCUGACGUUAGCGGCGGACGGGUGAGUAACACGUGGAUAACCUACCUAUAAGACUGGGAUAACUUCGGGAAACCGGAGCUAAUACCGGAUAAUAUAUUGAACCGCAUGGUUCAAUAGUGAAAGACGGUUUUGCUGUCACUUAUAGAUGGAUCCGCGCCGCAUUAGCUAGUUGGUAAGGUAACGGCUUACCAAGGCAACGAUGCGUAGCCGACCUGAGAGGGUGAUCGGCCACACUGGAACUGAGACACGGUCCAGACUCCUACGGGAGGCAGCAGUAGGGAAUCUUCCGCAAUGGGCGAAAGCUUGACGGAGCAACGCCGCGUGAGUGAUGAAGGUCUUCGGAUCGUAAAACUCUGUUAUUAGGGAAGAACAAAUGUGUAAGUAACUAUGCACGUCUUGACGGUACCUAAUCAGAAAGCCACGGCUAACUACAUG